This 497-nucleotide ribosomal RNA is filed under the name uncultured bacterium. RNAcentral describes it as "partial 16S ribosomal RNA". It matches the Rfam family "Bacterial small subunit ribosomal RNA", at positions 28 to 507 of the family's 1533-position model. The record is from RNAcentral.
GAUGAACGCUGGCGGCGUGCCUAAUACAUGCAAGUCGAGCGAACGGACGAGAAGCUUGCUUCUCUGAUGUUAGCGGCGGACGGGUGAGUAACACGUGGAUAACCUACCUAUAAGACUGGGAUAACUUCGGGAAACCGGAGCUAAUACCGGAUAAUAUUUUGAACCGCAUGGUUCAAAAGUGAAAGACGGUCUUGCUGUCACUUAUAGAUGGAUCCGCGCUGCAUUAGCUAGUUGGUAAGGUGACGGCUUACCAAGGCAACGAUGCAUAGCCGACCUGAGAGGGUGAUCGGCCACACUGGAACUGAGACACGGUCCAGACUCCUACGGGAGGCAGCAGUAGGGAAUCUUCCGCAAUGGGCGAAAGCCUGACGGAGCAACGCCGCGUGAGUGAUGAAGGUCUUCGGAUCGUAAAACUCCGUUAUUAGGGAAGAACAUAUGUGUAAGUAACUGUGCACAUCUUGACGGUACCUAAUCAGAAAGCCACGGCUAACUACGUG